Molecule: long non-coding RNA, 1976 nt
Filed under: Marmota monax (woodchuck)
Lineage: Eukaryota; Metazoa; Chordata; Mammalia; Rodentia; Sciuridae
Source: RNAcentral
GUAAAAGGGGAUGCAGGCUUGGGAAUGGGUACUGACUGUCCCCAAAGUAAAUCCCCUUAGCAUGAUCCAAGGGGGACCAGUGUCAUCUCUCUGAGAAAAGAAAAUGACAGCAACCAAGGGGGUCAUCGCAUGGUACCAUUUUUGACUAUUCUGUUUUAGUCAGCUUUUCUUAAAAAAAAAGCAAAAACUAUUUGGUUGACUAUUAACUCUGAAAGAAAAGCAGAAAGGAGAUGGGCAUGGGAGGAGAGUGGAGAGGAGGAGAACGAGAGAAGUGGCUGUCAACACCCAGGCCCCGGCUCUCUUGUUCCCCCUCCUUCUUGCUAGUGGCUCCAUGGGCCUGUCGUCAGGCAUCCAGAGGAGCCGCUGUCUGAGCCCCAGCCCAGCUGCUGGGGUCCCUCAGAGCCCAGAGGAGAAGCCCGGGUCCCGCUCUUUCCAGCCCCUGCUCCCACUCACAUGCGGGACGGGGUCCAGGGAAGACCUCAGCAGCCUGCACCUCGGGCUCAGAGCACCUAACGCAGGGAUGGGUCAUCCUGCCUGGCUCAAGGACAUUUGAGUCUGCCCUGGGCACCAUGCCCAUCUCAGUUGACAACUGCAGAUGAGGCCGCAGCUGAGGAGAGUUGACAAGCACACUUCUGCUGAGGAGCCAGGCCCAGCCCUGAAGGAAGGAGCUCAGCCCUCCAGACAGCACAGUUGCCAGCCACGAGGCACGCAGUGACAUUGGAUUUGGAGCCAUGACCUUGGGAAUCCACAUCGGAUCUGUAGCAGGCAUGGCCUUCACCUCACAGAGCACUCUGACAAUGUCGUCUGCUCUCUGGGGCCUCCUGGGAGGCCUUUCCCUGCCAGGCAUCUUUUCCCUGCCCCCCCCCCUCCUGCCCUAAUUCAAACCAUCCCAUUUCUUCAUCCCUCUGUAUCCAGAUCUCCAUUUGGGUUUACCUGCUUGGAUCUGCUCCGCUGGAGAGCCUGGCUGCUCAGAGCCCAGAGCCUCUCCCAGCCCUUUAACAUGAGAUGAGAGGCUCCCUCGCCUCGACAUUCCACCAACACAGCUCCUUUCAACUUCUGUCUUCCCCUCGGGCAAAAUCAGCAGCAAAGACCGUGCUAAGCUGAGUGGCCUAAGCCCCUCCUUUGAUUCUCAGGCCCCAAGAGCCACCCAGGCGCCAGCAAACUGCUAAGAUGCAUCACCAGACCCCUUGCUGGUAUCAUAAGCAUUUUUCCUGUCUCAGCAAACUGACAGGACUUGGCUACCCCAGGAGGGGAGCAGAGAGCUCCCCAGGCCUGGAGAGAACAGAGGAGCGCUGGUCGAUGGCUCCCUUGUCCCCUGUCACCAAUCCACGGAAACUUCCAAGACGGAGGUAGGGCCUGCACUGCCUCCAUUAAUGCAAGGAGCCAGAGGGCUGCAGGGAAGGAUGGAAGAGUCCCUGUGGGUGUCACAUACACCAAAAAGAGAAAGCACCUACGAUGGGUGUUGACAGGGAAACAGAUCCUGCCAAGACUCUGCCAAAAAGCAGGCCCUCCGCGUGUGCCCUGAAACCAUCGCUUUGAACAAUGAUCACAUCAAAGAAAGGGAGUUUUUAUGGACACUCUGGAGAGGAAUGGUUUUGAUACCUAAUCUGUCCAGCACGGCCCCCUGAGCAGUAGGUACCAACAGGUGGCACGCAGCAAGUCUGAAGCUCGGCCCCCUUGCUGGGCAAACCCAAGUGUGUAAAGCCCGAAAGGCAAGUGUCAGCUUGGGAGCCUCCUCUCCAGAUCCUAACCCUGCGCGGGAACAAGAGUACAGGAAACCCAGGCGCGUGCUUCCCAAGUGCUCUUCUGGCGGGCGGAUUCCCUGUCACCUCACAUGCUCCCCUGGGCCUGAGGCUUGAGGGCAGUAGGAGGCAGCCACGUGGGGAUGGGGUGACUGGGUGACCCAGAGGUUUCCAAGAGGUCAUGUGACCUCUUGGCUCGAACUUGACCUCCCUAUGCUUCAUGGAUUCUUGCUU